This 24-nucleotide microRNA is filed under the name Caenorhabditis briggsae. RNAcentral describes it as "Cbr-Mir-2-o4_5p* (star (passenger))". The record is from RNAcentral. Lineage: Eukaryota; Metazoa; Nematoda; Chromadorea; Rhabditida; Rhabditidae.
GACAUCAAGAUGCUUGUGAUUAUG